AUGAACGCUGGCGGCGUGCCUAAUACAUGCCAGUCGAGCGAACAGACGAGGAGCUUGCUCCUCUGACGUUAGCGGCGGACGGGUGAGUAACACGUGGAUAACCUACCUAUAAGACUGGGAUAACUUCGGGAAACCGGAGCUAAUACCGGAUAAUAUAUUGAACCGCAUGGUUCAAUAGUGAAAGACGGUUUUGCUGUCACUUAUAGAUGGAUCCGCGCCGCAUUAGCUAGUUGGUAUGGUAACGGCUUACCAAGGCAACGAUGCGUAGCCGACCUGAGAGGGUGAUCGGCCACACUGGAACUGAGACACGGUCCAGACUCCUACGGGAGGCAGCAGUAGGGAAUCUUCCGCAAUGGGCGAAAGCCUGACGGAGCAACGCCGCGUGAGUGAUGAAGGUCUUCGGAUCGUAAAACUCUGUUAUUAGGGAAGAACAAAUGUGUAAGUAACUAUGCACGUCUUGACGGUACCUAAUCAGAAAGCCACGGCUAACUACGUG
This 496-nucleotide ribosomal RNA is filed under the name uncultured bacterium. RNAcentral's name for it is "partial 16S ribosomal RNA". It matches the Rfam family "Bacterial small subunit ribosomal RNA", at positions 29 to 507 of the family's 1533-position model. The record is from RNAcentral.